UUCUCGUAAAGAAUCAUAGAGUCACAGAGUGAAAGCACUUAAUCUAAGACAAGAAGAUACAACCAGAGUAACAAUCGUAAGAGGCCAAUAAUCCCCAAAUAGAUUGAAACCUAAAUCCUUUUAAACCCUAACUACAAACCGAAAGAUCACCUAAUCGAUUGAAACCCAAACCUUUUUCAAACCGUAACUACAAACUCAAAUAUCCCCAAAUCGAUUGAAACCAAUAUCGUUUCAAACCCUAACUACAAACCAAACAUCUCCAAAUCGAUUGAAAACCCAAACCUUUUUCAAACCGUAACUACAAACUCAAAUAUCCCCAAAUCGAUUGAAUCCCAAAUCGUUUGAAACCCUAACUACAAACCGAUAGAUCCCCAAAUCGAUUGAAAAGACAAAACCGAACCCUAA
Molecule: long non-coding RNA, 405 nt
Filed under: Brassica napus (rape)
Lineage: Eukaryota; Viridiplantae; Streptophyta; Magnoliopsida; Brassicales; Brassicaceae
Description: long non-coding RNA (BNAP_LNC022205)
Source: RNAcentral